GGCCCUUUAGCUCAGUUGGUUAGAGCGUGCGAAUCAUAAUCGCCCGGUCGCUGGUUCAAGUCCAGCAAGGGCCACCA
RNAcentral lists this transfer RNA (77 nucleotides) under Enterobacter bugandensis. RNAcentral describes it as "tRNA-Ile". It matches the Rfam family "tRNA". From Rfam's summary of the family: Transfer RNA (tRNA) molecules are approximately 80 nucleotides in length. Their secondary structure includes four short double-helical elements and three loops (D, anti-codon, and T loops). Lineage: Bacteria; Pseudomonadati; Pseudomonadota; Gammaproteobacteria; Enterobacterales; Enterobacteriaceae. The record is from RNAcentral.